CAUGUCCUAGUGGUGAUUAUCAUACCUCAUUUUCGAUGAGGAGAAGAAAGGAUAUAU
This 57-nucleotide transfer RNA is filed under the name Xiphinema americanum. Its description in RNAcentral is "tRNA-Glu". Lineage: Eukaryota; Metazoa; Nematoda; Enoplea; Dorylaimida; Longidoridae. The record is from RNAcentral.